UACGUAGGGGGCAAGCGUUGUCCGGAAUCAUUGGGCGUAAAGAGCGUGUAGGCGGACCUGCAAGUCGGGGGUGAAAGCCCGAGGCUCAACCUCGGAACUGCCUUCGAUACUGCGGGUCUCGAGUCCGGGAGAGGUGAGUGGAAUUCCUAGUGUAGAGGUGAAAUUCGUAGAUAUUAGGAAGAACACCAGUGGCGAAGGCGGCUCACUGGCUCGGUACUGACGCUGAGGCGCGAAAGCGUGGGGAGCAAACAGG
This 253-nucleotide ribosomal RNA is filed under the name uncultured bacterium. Its description in RNAcentral is "partial 16S ribosomal RNA". It matches the Rfam family "Bacterial small subunit ribosomal RNA", at positions 524 to 776 of the family's 1533-position model. The record is from RNAcentral.